AUUGAACGCUGGCGGAAUGCUUUACACAUGCAAGUCGAACGGCAGCACGGACUUCGGUCUGGUGGCGAGUGGCGAACGGGUGAGUAAUGUAUCGGAACGUGCCCAGUCGUGGGGGAUAACGUAGUGAAAAUUACGCUAAUACCGCAUACGAUCUAUGGGUGAAAGCGGGGGAUCGCAAGACCUCGCGCGAUAGGAGCGGCCGAUAUCAGAUUAGGUAGUUGGUGGGGGAAAGGCCCACCAAGCCAACGACCUGUAGCCGGUCUGAGAGGACGACCAGCCACACUGGAACUGAGACACGGUCCAGACUCCUACGGGAGGCAGCAGUGGGGAAUUUUGGACAAUGGGCGAAAGCCUGAUCCAGCCAUUCCGCGUGCAGGAUGAAGGCCCUCGGGUUGUAAACUGCUUUUGUACAGAACGAAAAGGUUUCUACUAAUACUAGGAGCUCAUGACGGUACUGUAAGAAUAAGCACCGGCUAACUACGUGCCAGCCGCCGCCGUAA
Molecule: ribosomal RNA, 500 nt
Filed under: uncultured bacterium
Lineage: Bacteria
Description: partial 16S ribosomal RNA
Rfam family: Bacterial small subunit ribosomal RNA
Source: RNAcentral